RNAcentral lists this ribosomal RNA (301 nucleotides) under uncultured bacterium. RNAcentral describes it as "partial 16S ribosomal RNA". It matches the Rfam family "Bacterial small subunit ribosomal RNA", at positions 509 to 807 of the family's 1533-position model. The record is from RNAcentral.
CAGUCGCCGCGGGAAUACGAAGGGUGCAAGCGUUAAUCGGAAUUACUGGGCGUAAAGCGUGCGUAGGCGGUGAGUUAAGUCUGCUGUGAAAUCCCCGGGCUCAACCUGGGAAUGGCAGUGGAUACUGGCUCGCUAGAGUGUGUCAGAGGAUGGUGGAAUUCCCGGUGUAGCGGUGAAAUGCGUAGAGAUCGGGAGGAACAUCAGUGGCGAAGGCGGCCAUCUGGGACAACACUGACGCUGAGGCACGAAAGCGUGGGGAGCAAACAGGACUAGAUACCCCCGUAGUCCCUGUCUCUUAUAC